This 468-nucleotide ribosomal RNA is filed under the name uncultured bacterium. RNAcentral describes it as "partial 16S ribosomal RNA". It matches the Rfam family "Bacterial small subunit ribosomal RNA", at positions 28 to 507 of the family's 1533-position model. The record is from RNAcentral.
GACGAACGCUGGCGGCGUGCUUAACACAUGCAAGUCGAACGGACAGGCCCUGCUUUUGUGGGGUGCUCGAGUGGCGAACGCGUGAGUAACACGCGAGUAACCUGCCCUUGUCUUUGGGAUAACUCCAGGAAACUCGGGCUCAUACCGGAUAGAAGCUACUGCUGCAUGGUGGGGGUUGGAAAGUUUCGGCGGUUGGGGCUGGGCUGGCGGCUUAUCAGCUUGUUUGUGGAGUAGUUGCUUACCAAGGCUUCGACGGGUAGCCGGCCUGGGAGGGUGACCGGGCUCAUGGCGACUGCGAUACGGCGCAGUAGCCAACGGGCCGCAGCGGGCGGGAGCAUUGCGGAACGGGGGGACGCCUGUUGCGGAAGCGCCGCGUGCGGGAUGCCGGGCUUCGGGGUGUAAACAGAUUUCGAAGGUGACGAAGAGUGAGUGACGGUAAUGAGUAAGGAAGCCCCGGCUAACUACGUG